This 74-nucleotide transfer RNA is filed under the name Nitrosomonas eutropha. RNAcentral's name for it is "tRNA_Met_CAT". It matches the Rfam family "tRNA". From Rfam's summary of the family: Transfer RNA (tRNA) molecules are approximately 80 nucleotides in length. Lineage: Bacteria; Pseudomonadati; Pseudomonadota; Betaproteobacteria; Nitrosomonadales; Nitrosomonadaceae. RNAcentral also lists the same sequence under 5 other names. The record is from RNAcentral.
GGGUCUGUAGCUCAGUUGGUUAGAGCAGGGGACUCAUAAUCCCUUGGUCGUAGGUUCAAGUCCUACCAGACCCA